UGCAGCAACGCCGCGUGAGGGAUGACGGCCUUCGGGUUGUAAACCUCUUUUAGUAGGGAAGAAGGGAGCUUGCUCUUGACGGUACCUGCAGAAAAAGCACCGGCUAACUACGUGCCAGCAGCCGCGGUAAUACGUAGGGUGCAAGCGUUGUCCGGAAUUAUUGGGCGUAAAGAGCUCGUAGGCGGUUUGUCGCGUCUGCUGUGAAAACCCGAGGCUCAACCUCGGGCCUGCAGUGGGUACGGGCAGACUAGAGUGCGGUAGGGGAGAAUGGAAUUCCUGGUGUAGCGGUGGAAUGCGCAGAUAUCAGGAGGAACACCGAUGGCGAAGGCAGUUCUCUGGGCCGUAACUGACGCUGAGGAGCGAAAGCGUGGGGAGCGAACAGGAUUAGAUACCCUGGUAGUCCACGCCGUAAACGUUGGGCGCUAGAUGUGGGGACCUUUCCACGGUUUCCGUGUCGCAGCUAACGCAUUAAGCGCCCCGCCUGGGGAGUACGGCCGCAAGGCUAAAACUCAAAGGAAUUGACGGGGGCCCGCACAAGCGGCGGAGCAUGCGGAUUAAUUCGAUGCAACGCGAAGAACCUUACCAAGGCUUGACAUAUACGAGAACGGGCCAGAAAUGGUCAACUC
RNAcentral lists this ribosomal RNA (626 nucleotides) under Leifsonia sp. So2Ps_1637. Its description in RNAcentral is "bacterial SSU rRNA". It matches the Rfam family "Bacterial small subunit ribosomal RNA", at positions 387 to 1016 of the family's 1533-position model. Lineage: Bacteria; Bacillati; Actinomycetota; Actinomycetes; Micrococcales; Microbacteriaceae. The record is from RNAcentral.